CCCGCCUAAAUUGGCAGGCCUUA
Molecule: non-coding RNA, 23 nt
Filed under: Arabidopsis thaliana (thale cress)
Lineage: Eukaryota; Viridiplantae; Streptophyta; Magnoliopsida; Brassicales; Brassicaceae
Source: RNAcentral